AGCUCCAAUAGCGUAUAUUAAAGUUGUNGCAGUUAAAACGUCNGUAGUNGAACGUUUGCCUUUUGUNUAGGCCUCUCAUCAUUCAGUUGUUGANUUUGGUUUUAGACUGGGCACAAAGUNUAGAUGGCNUGAGUUUUUNGGGGCUUGAGUNUAUUCANUMGGNGUAUUACCAUGAGCAAAUCAGAGUGUUUAAAGCNGGCUUUUAAGNUUGAACNUGUUANCAUGGAAUAAUGAAAUAUGACCCAGGGUCUAUUUCGUUGGUUUUGAGACCCAAAGUAAUGAUGAAUAGGAGUGGUCGGGGGCAUUUGUAUUUCGGCGCUAGAG
Molecule: ribosomal RNA, 324 nt
Filed under: uncultured Absidia
Lineage: Eukaryota; Fungi; Mucoromycota; Mucoromycetes; Mucorales; Mucoraceae
Description: partial 18S ribosomal RNA
Rfam family: Eukaryotic small subunit ribosomal RNA
Source: RNAcentral